Molecule: long non-coding RNA, 385 nt
Filed under: Ananas comosus (pineapple)
Lineage: Eukaryota; Viridiplantae; Streptophyta; Magnoliopsida; Poales; Bromeliaceae
Description: long non-coding RNA (ACOM_LNC007471)
Source: RNAcentral
UGUAUAGUAAAACUUAUAUAUAGAAUAAACUCUAAUUAAUUCUUCUUAUUCUAUUCAACUAAUUUACAUUAACUACACUUUUUUUUUUUUUCUAAUCUUGAUGAAGUUUGGAUGACUAUUCUAACAUAGGUGUGUUUGGUUUGAAGUCGGAAUUGGAAUCGAAAUCGGAAUCAAAAUAAGCUGGAAUCGAAAUCGGAAUGACUCAUUAUCUAAUUCUAUUUGGUUCAUCACCUGAAUCGGAAUCAAAAUACAUCAUUCCUAUUGUCGGUGUUUGGUUCAGGUGGAUAUAAAAAAUGUAAUCAAAUUAAUAUACUAACAUUAUCUUUAUAAUAUAUUAAUUUAAAUUCAAAUUAAAAAUCAAAUAUUAAAAAUUUACAUCAAAAUU